GAGGAAUAUUGGUCAAUGGGUGCAAGCCUGAACCAGCCAUCCCGCGUGAAGGACGACUGCCCUAUGGGUUGUAAACUUCUUUUGUAUAGGGAUAAACCUACCCUCGCGAGGGUAGCUGAAGGUACUAUACGAAUAAGCACCGGCUAACUCCGUGCCAGCAGCCGCGGUAAUACGGAGGGUGCAAGCGUUAUCCGGAUUUAUUGGGUUUAAAGGGUCCGUAGGCGGACUUAUAAGUCAGUGGUGAAAGCCUGUCGCUUAGCGAUAGAACUGCCAGUGAUACUGUAAGUCUUGAGUAUAUUUGAGGUAGCUGGAAUAAGUAGUGUAGCGGUCAAAUGCAUAGAUAUUACACAGAAUAUCGAUUGCGAAGGCAGCUCACAAAGCCAUUAUUGACGCUGAGGCACGAAAGUGUGGGGAUCAAACA
RNAcentral lists this ribosomal RNA (421 nucleotides) under uncultured bacterium. Its description in RNAcentral is "bacterial SSU rRNA". It matches the Rfam family "Bacterial small subunit ribosomal RNA", at positions 356 to 774 of the family's 1533-position model. The record is from RNAcentral.